CUCACCUCUGCAAAACCUCUCAGAUCACCUCCCUCCAUCACUUCCAUCCCCGACCACUUCUGAGCACAGCCACCUAUCAGCUAGCCAUCAAUCAAACUUCUAAUCUAUACUUAUCUCCAUCAUAGCUUCUCUCUUAUCAAAAACAGUAACCUAGAAGCUAGGAUUGAGAGAGAUAAGAUUAGGGCUAGCUUCAACAGCUGGAGAACAUCAAAUCAAAGAGUUGCAGAGUUGAAUUGCAGAAUGGGUUCGUCGGAAAAAGCGUUUUGGGCUCCUCUCAGCUGUUAAUCAACAAUGAUGCUUCCUGAAUUUGUUUCACCUGUAUAAGACAAAAGCAACAAAUAUGAUUAAGACAAAAGUUAGAGGGAGGUCACUUGCAUAAGGUGGAAGCAUGGAUAGUAUUUGAUAAGUUUCUUUACUGAAUCAGUAGAUAUGGCUUUAACCAGGCAGUGGUCUUUUGUCAAGUUGAUCACUAGCUUUCAAGCAGGUUCAUAGUAGAGACGAUGGGUAUGAAUAUAAUCUUAAGGGCACCAAGACAACCACCAAAAGUGAUUUCUGCCUUGUUUUGUUUUUUGUGAAAUAAAAGAAUGAACAUCUCUGCCCAUAUUUGAAGUUCACAUUGUCAUUGUGUUAAAGCGUCAGUGACUAGUGAUUAAGAACAAUAGGAAUGAUAGAUUUUUCUUUGAGGUGACUCAAAUCAAUAGCACAACUACUUGUUACUAAUGGCCGCUCAACCGGUAUUCAUUAAUUCCAUUUGUCUUCUGUCCAGCUUUUCGAUAUCCUUCGUUCGGGUUCUUCUCUUUUUUCAAAUACUCUUCUCAUUACAUUGUCACUGGUCUUGGAUGCAAGUAAAAAAGGUCUAUUUUUGAUUUGAAUCGCAGGAAGGUGGAUGGCCCUUAGGAUUACAACCAUUGAAGGUGAGAGUUGGUUUGGUGAGGAAUCGUGAUUUUUCGGGGAUAAAUAUUAUCUUAAGGGCACCAAGACAACCACCAACACUAACUUUGAAACAGGUCCAUAGGAGAGAUGAUGGGCAUAAGUAUUAUCUUAGGGCACCAAGACAACCACCAAAAGUGAUUUCUGCCUUGUCGAUUUCUGUGCCUUGAUGAGAUCAGGUUAGCUAUCGAUAGUAAUUAAAGCAAUGGAAAGAUCAAAGAGCUGCUAAUGGAGGAUCAAUAUGUUAAGCUGAGGAAACACUACCAGAAACAGUCCGAUAUCUGAGCCUCUCCAGAGACCAAAAGCCCCCCAACCAUCAUUCUGGGAACUGCUUGAGAAAUUAAAGCAUCGGCAGAUACUUCAAGCCUAAGCAUCCCUUUGAGCAACAAGGCAGUCAAACUACAACAGUGGCUCCCGAUAUUUGAAUUCAUUGAUCUGUAAAUACCAAUGUAGACGGCUGGUUUCAUGAUUAUCAUAUUUUGAGGUUGUGUUUUAACCUCUAGAGCUCAGAUUAGUGGGUAAUAGAGUUAUGUGCUCUGGAUGUUUUUUUCUUUUUCCUUCUGAUGUAUGUGUACUUUGAGAAAACACAGCAUAACCAGGCACCUUCAAAUAA
Molecule: long non-coding RNA, 1543 nt
Organism: Papaver somniferum (opium poppy)
Lineage: Eukaryota; Viridiplantae; Streptophyta; Magnoliopsida; Ranunculales; Papaveraceae
Exons: 4
Source: RefSeq, a predicted model, not a curated record